Molecule: long non-coding RNA, 1005 nt
Filed under: Oryctolagus cuniculus (rabbit)
Lineage: Eukaryota; Metazoa; Chordata; Mammalia; Lagomorpha; Leporidae
Description: lncRNA (ENSOCUG00000035041.1)
Source: RNAcentral
AUGAGUUUCACUCCUCUAUCCUGCGGUGGGGGCGGUACAGGUGCCCUGUUCAACAGGAAACAGUUACAGAAGAAUGGCCUUCAUCUUUCAAAAACGAGGAGCAAAACGUCUAAUGGAGAUUUUGUAACCACAAGUGCAGGAUUUAGGGGGGGGCAUAGGAUGAUCAGCAGAGAAGCUGAGACAGUUUACUUGCCUGAACUUGCUUUCCUGGAGGGCUUACCCUACACCAUGUACACAGCACGUGUACUACAUACCACUACACACCCACAAACAAGCAAAGCUCCAAUAAACCAGUCCGGGACUUUUCAGCUAGUGUACAGAGAUGCCAUGGGAAGCAGGAAGGGAACGGCCACUUGCCCUUCUUCUGCAUCUAGGCACUUCCUUAGGAACCCUGGCACACCGCCUCUUGGGGACUCAGUUUCCUUGGGGACCAUGUCUUCCCACUGUCCUCUAGCUGUCACAGUGAACGAAGCUUUCUUCCGGGCAACUCCCGCGCCAGGAUGGGUAUUUGGUGAACCCCUGGUGUCCAAGAUUGAUACCCGACACCGUGAUUCCCAAAUUCUAGCCUUAACAAGUCGCUUUUUUUUUUCCCCUUGUGCUGACUUUUUACCUGAAUUCUGUCUCACUUGCUAUAAAGAAAUCAGCAGCGUUGGCACUCUGCCAAGAGCAGAAUCUCAGUCGGUUUUCUGGCGAUCCUGCAGAUACGCCUCGUCCCCUGCAAUUCUCUUUAAGAUUUUUAAAAAUUUAAUUGAAAGAGAACAGAGGGGCCGGCGCUGUGGCAUAUCGGGUAAAGCUGCGGUCUGCAGCACUGGCAUCCCGUAUGGGCACCGGUUCGAGUCCCAGCUGCUCCACUUCCGAUCCAGCUCUCUGCUAUGGCCUGGGAAAGCAAUGGAAGAUGGCCCAGGUCCUUGGGUCCCUGCACCCACGUGGGAGAUCUGGAAGAAGCUCCUGCCUCCCUGGUUCGGAUGGGCGCAGCUCCGGCCGCUGCGGCCAUCUGGGGAGUGA